Molecule: long non-coding RNA, 1131 nt
Organism: Monodelphis domestica (gray short-tailed opossum)
Lineage: Eukaryota; Metazoa; Chordata; Mammalia; Didelphimorphia; Didelphidae
Source: RefSeq, a predicted model, not a curated record
AGAGGAAAGGAGAACAUCAAUACACUGGAAGGGUAAAGAGGUUGGAGAUUGGAUUACUUAAUUCUUAUGUGCAUUGAAAUUGACUCAAAGAGGGAAGAACAAUCAAAUACAUUGGGGCAGAGAAUUAAUUUGUGCCUGGUCGAGAAGUAGAAGGGUAACAAAUGAACUGGUGAGGAGCAAACACAUCACUUGAGCAUAAAGGUGGCAAAAUUCUGUGCAUCCUACUUGAGGUAAACCAGGUGAAAUCUGAAAUUGACAGAAAAAAUGCUAAGGAUGAAAAAUUGCUCAGCUAAAGAGGAACCAUUGUGGAGUCAAUGCUGUGCACACUAGAUGCUGUGAGUGGAAGUAGGUGUGAUGCCCUUAGGAUAAAGGAUAAGAAGAUUGGAAGAGUUCUGAAUGAAAUGGAAAUCCAGCUGAAACCAUGCCAACUACCAAGAUGCAGAGGCCCUAAGGAAGAUGAGAAACAUGCAAGGUAUCCUGAAAUACCCAACUGCGUCUGGAUGACAACAUUAGAGGCCAAGAGGACUUUACAGAACAGUUAGCUGUGGUAGAGAGGAGAGCUAGCUUGGUGUAGGCUGAGACUGAAGAGUUAAGAGCUUCUUUAGAAGAAACUGAGAGGAGCAAGAAGGUAGGUAAACAAGAAUUUAUGAAUGCUAGUGAACAAGUAUAACUCCUAUACAUGCAGAACACUAGCCUGAUCAAUACCAAUAAGAAGAUAACUCAAGUCCAGGGUGAAAUGAAAAACAUGGUUCAGGAACUCACCAAGAAGACCAUAAGAAUGUUCUCAGGCUUCAGGACCUAGUAGACAAAUUACAAACCAAAGGGAAAGCAAACAAGAGACAAGAUGAAAAGGUGAAGGAGUAGUGCAAUGUCAACCUCUCAAAAUUCCUCAAGAUUCAAAAUGAGCUGGAGGGUCCAGAGGAAUAGACUGACAUUGCUGAAUGCCAAGUCAACAAACAGAGGUUCACACAAAGAUUGUAAGUGAAGAGUAAUCACAUCCAAAUACUUCAAGGUGACUGAAGAAAAACACCUAAUGUAAAAUUUUUGGUCAAUUUAUAAUUAUUGUCUACUCUGUUCUUAAUAUUAAGCCUAAGAAAAAUUUGCAAACCUAAAAAUAAAAAAGUAAAUCAA